UAAAUUUGUGCACACAACAAACAUCUUCUUUGAUAAUAACAACACCUGUAACAAUCAGAAUGUCAUUCUGACAUCUGCUUCAACAUCAACACAUGUGCACCACAUCAGACAUCCCCUUUGACAUUUGUAAACAGAACAACGCAUCUCCUUCAAUAAUUGUUGUCCAUCUGUUCAGCUACAUACAUCUCCUCACAGCUCCACAACUCACAACUUUAACUGCUUCCACAUCAACACUUCUCCCCCUUUUUAGUCAAAAUUGACCAAAGGUGACCAAUUAGACCAAAUAAAUGUCAAUUAGCCUAGCAGAGAAUGUCACCAUAGAUGUCAUAACAUAUAACAUGUUAAAACAUAAUUGUUUAGGAGAUACAUACCAACAUUAUACACAGCUGAGAUAAUGAACAAAUCCAUGGAACUCAUUAAGAGCCCAAAAUAUUACAAACAUGCAUCAAUGAGGACUGCCACAAAUUACACAUAUUUAAAAAAACCAAUAAAUUCUUCAGCAUCCAAACAGCAGGGGGGAACAGCUUCCAUAACAUCAGCCACAACAGCCACACCAAGAACAGUCU
RNAcentral lists this long non-coding RNA (566 nucleotides) under Lathyrus oleraceus (garden pea). RNAcentral describes it as "Pisum sativum (pea) long non-coding RNA (PSAT_LNC024498)". The record is from RNAcentral. Lineage: Eukaryota; Viridiplantae; Streptophyta; Magnoliopsida; Fabales; Fabaceae.